Molecule: microRNA precursor, 58 nt
Filed under: Podarcis lilfordi (Lilford's wall lizard)
Lineage: Eukaryota; Metazoa; Chordata; Lepidosauria; Squamata; Lacertidae
Source: RNAcentral
AUGUGUAUGUGGGUGUGCAUAUAUGUAUAUUAUAUAUAUAGACACACACAUAUACAUA